This 548-nucleotide ribosomal RNA is filed under the name uncultured bacterium. RNAcentral describes it as "bacterial SSU rRNA". It matches the Rfam family "Bacterial small subunit ribosomal RNA", at positions 355 to 896 of the family's 1533-position model. The record is from RNAcentral.
UAGGGAAUCUUCGGCAAUGGGGGGAACCCUGACCGAGCAACGCCGCGUGAGUGAAGAAGGUUUUCGGAUCGUAAAGCUCUGUUGUUAAGGAAGAACGAGUGUGAGAAUGGAAAGUUCAUACUGUGCCGGUACUUACCAAANGNGCGGUUCCCUGCCCCCUGCCCCNUCCGCGGUAAUACGUAGGUCCCGAGCGUUGUCCGGAUUUAUUGGGCGUAAAGCGAGCGCAGGCGGUUAGAUAAGUCUGAAGUUAAAGGCAGUGGCUCAACCAUUGUAGGCUUUGGAAACUGUUUAACUUGAGUGCAGAAGGGGAGAGUGGAAUUCCAUGUGUAGCGGUGAAAUGCGUAGAUAUAUGGAGGAACACCGGUGGCGAAAGCGGCUCUCUGGUCUGUAACUGACGCUGAGGCUCGAAAGCGUGGGGAGCGAACAGGAUUAGAUACCCUGGUAGUCCACGCCGUAAACGAUGAGUGCUAGGUGUUAGGUCCUUUCCGGGACUUAGUGCCGCAGCUAACGCAUUAAGCACUCCGCCUGGGGAGUACGACCGCAAGUUG